Molecule: ribosomal RNA, 393 nt
Filed under: uncultured bacterium
Lineage: Bacteria
Description: bacterial SSU rRNA
Rfam family: Bacterial small subunit ribosomal RNA
Source: RNAcentral
GAUGAACGCUGGCGGCGUGCCUAAGACAUGCAAGUCGAGUGGGUUUAGACCCACGGCGAACGGGUGAGUAAUACCUAGGAACUUUCUUUAAGUGGAGCAUAACCAGCCGAAAGGUUGGAUAAUACUUCAUGUGGCAGUAAUGCUAAAGUCGCAAGACGCUUAAAGUGAGGCCUGGGCACCAUCAGCUAGUUGGUAAGGUAAUGGCUUACCAAGGCUAUGACGGUUAGGGGUCCCGAGAGGGAUAACCCCCACACUGGAACUGCGACACGGUCCAGACUCCUACGGGAGGCAGCAGUUUGGAAUUUUGGACAAUGGGCGAAAGCCUGAUCCAGCGACGCCGCGUGGACGAUGAAGGGCCUUCGGGUCGUAAAGUCCUUUUGCUCGGGAACAAUA